AGUGAACGCUGGCGGUAGGCCUAACACAUGCAAGUCGAACGGCAGCACAGUAAGAGCUUGCUCUUACGGGUGGCGAGUGGCGGACGGGUGAGGAAUACAUCGGAAUCUACUUUUUCGAGGGGGAUAACGUAGGGAAACUUACGCUAAUACCGCAUACGACCUACGGGUGAAAGCAGGGGAUCUUCGGACCUUGCGCGAUUGAAUGAGCCGAUGUCGGAUUAGCUAGUUGGCGGGGUAAAGGCCCACCAAGGCGACGAUCCGUAGCUGGUCUGAGAGGAUGAUCAGCCACACUGGAACUGAAACACGGUCCAGACUCCUACGGGAGGCAGCAGUGGGGAAUAUUGGACAAUGGGCGCAAGCCUGAUCCAGCCAUACCGCGUGGGUGAAGAAGGCCUUCGGGUUGUAAAGCCCUUUUGUUGGGAAAGAAAAGCAGCAGGUUAAUACCCCGCUGUUCUGACGGUACCCAAAGAAUAAGCACCGGCUAACUUCGUG
This 492-nucleotide ribosomal RNA is filed under the name uncultured bacterium. Its description in RNAcentral is "partial 16S ribosomal RNA". It matches the Rfam family "Bacterial small subunit ribosomal RNA", at positions 29 to 507 of the family's 1533-position model. The record is from RNAcentral.